Molecule: ribosomal RNA, 567 nt
Filed under: uncultured bacterium
Lineage: Bacteria
Description: partial 16S ribosomal RNA
Rfam family: Bacterial small subunit ribosomal RNA
Source: RNAcentral
UGGGGAAUUUUGGACAAUGGGCGAAAGCCUGAUCCAGCAAUGCCGCGUGUGUGAAGAAGGCCUUCGGGUUGUAAAGCACUUUUGUCCGGAAAGAAAUCCUUGGCUCUAAUACAGUCGGGGGAUGACGGUACCGGAAGAAUAAGCACCGGCUAACUACGUGCCAGCAGCCGCGGUAAUACGUAGGGUGCAAGCGUUAAUCGGAAUUACUGGGCGUAAAGCGUGCGCAGGCGGUUUGCUAAGACCGAUGUGAAAUCCCCGGGCUCAACCCGGGAACUGCAUUGGUGACUGGCAGGCUAGAGUAUGGCAGAGGGGGGUAGAAUUCCACGUGUAGCAGUGAAAUGCGUAGAGAUGUGGAGGAAUACCGAUGGCGAAGGCAGCCCCCUGGGCAAUACUGACGCUCAUGCACGAAAGCGUGGGGAGCAAACAGGAUUAGAUACCCUGGUAGUCCACGCCCCUAAACGAUGUCAACUAGUUGUUGGGGAUUCAUUUCCUUAGUAACGUAGCUAACGCGUGAAGUUGACCGCCUGGGGAGUACGGUCGCAAGAUUAAAACUCAAAGGAAUUGAAC